CAGGAUGAACGCUAGCGGCAGGCUUAACACAUGCAAGUCGAGGGGCAGCAUGUCCAGCAAUGGAUGAUGGCGACCGGCGGAAGGGUGCGUAACGCGUGAGCAACAUGCCCUAUACAGGGAGAUACACCAGGGAAACUUGGUCUAAUAUCCCAUAGCAUUCAUUGAAGGCAUCUUUAAUGAAUUAAAGCUUCGGUGGUAUAGGAUUGGCUCGCGUGACAUUAGCCAGAUGGUGAGGUAACGGCUCACCAUAGCAAUGAUGUCUAGGGGUUUUGAGAGGAAGGCCCCCCACACUGGGACUGAGACACGGCCCAGACUCCUACGGGAGGCAGCAGUGAGGAAUAUUGGUCAAUGGACGCAAGUCUGAACCAGCCACGUCGCGUGAAGGAAGACGGCCCUACGGGUUGUAAACUUCUUUUGUAAGGGAAUAAAGUGAGUCACGUGUGGCUUUUUGCAUGUACCUUACGAAUAAGGAUCGGCUAACUCCGUGCCAGCAGCCGCGGUAAUACGGAGGAUCCGAGCGUUAUCCGGAUUUAUUGGGUUUAAAGGGUGCUCAGGCGGGCCAUUAAGUCGGCGGUGAAAUUUUGCGGCUCAACCGUAAAAGUGCCUUCGAUACUGGUGGUCUUGAGUGUGGAUGAGGUAGGCGGAAUUUGUGGUGUAGCGGUGAAAUGCAUAGAUAUCACGAGGAACUCCGAUUGCUAAGGCAGCUUACUAAGCCAUAACUGACGCUCAAGCACGAAGGCGUGGGGAUCAAACGGGAUUAGAUACCCUGGUAGUCCACGCAGUAAACGAUGAUUACUGGCUGUUUGCGAUAUAUUGUAAGCGGCUGAGCGAAAGCGUUAAGUAAUCCACCUGGGGAGUACGUUCGCAAGAAUGAAACUCAAAGGAAUUGACGGGGGCCCGCACAAGCGGAGGAACAUGUGGUUUAAUUCGAUGAUACGCGAGGAACCUUACCCGGGCUUGAAAUGCAGAUGACAGGCGGCGAGAACCGUUUUUCCUUCGGGACAUCUGUGUAGGUGCUGCAUGGUUGUCGUCAGCUCGUGCCGUGAGGUGUCGGCUUAAGUGCCAUAACGAGCGCAACCCUCAUCGUUAGUUGCCAUCAGGUCAAGCUGGGGACUCUAACGGGACUGCCAUCGUAAGAUGUGAGGAAGGUGGGGAGGACGUCAAAUCAGCACGGCCCUUACGUCCGGGGCGACACACGUGUUACAAUGGGUGGUACAAAGGGCAGCUACCGGGCGACCGGAUGCCAAUCUCUAAAACCACUCUCAGUUCGGGUCGGAGUCUGCAACUCGACUCCGUGAAGCUGGAUUCGCUAGUAAUCGCGCAUCA
This 1326-nucleotide ribosomal RNA is filed under the name uncultured bacterium. RNAcentral's name for it is "partial 16S ribosomal RNA". It matches the Rfam family "Bacterial small subunit ribosomal RNA", at positions 25 to 1351 of the family's 1533-position model. The record is from RNAcentral.